GCCCUCGUAGCUCAGCCGGUUUAGAGCAUCGUGCUUAUAGUAAUCCGAAAGGGUAACUAUGCUUUAGUCACGCGAAGGUCGCGAGUUCGAUCCUCGCCUAGGGCA
This is a transfer RNA of Saitoella complicata NRRL Y-17804, 105 nucleotides long. It matches the Rfam family "tRNA". From Rfam's summary of the family: Transfer RNA (tRNA) molecules are approximately 80 nucleotides in length. Their secondary structure includes four short double-helical elements and three loops (D, anti-codon, and T loops). NCBI's taxonomy places the organism in Eukaryota, Fungi, Ascomycota, Saitoellomycetes, Saitoellales, Saitoellaceae. The record is from Rfam.